Molecule: long non-coding RNA, 554 nt
Organism: Ictalurus furcatus (blue catfish)
Lineage: Eukaryota; Metazoa; Chordata; Actinopteri; Siluriformes; Ictaluridae
Exons: 3
Source: RefSeq, a predicted model, not a curated record
GUGAGGAGCAGAAAGCGUUGUUAGUGUUAGUUCUGGCCCGUUUGGACCCAAACUAAAGUGAGUUUAUUCGGUUCUGUGUAACCGAACCCGUUCUGUUCUGUGCUGUAUUGUGUGUAUGUGUGUAGUUAACGGUGUUAACACCUGUGUUUCAGGUGUAUCAGUAUGAAGCAGGCGGUGACGGCGCACUGAUUCACUCUCGGAGCUCGGUUCACUAAUGACCGAAUCACCGAGGAACCGACUAAAGAUAACUCACACCCGCACGGAGAAGAAGAACAAGAGGAGGAGAAGGUGAGCUGGAGUGGGGCAAAGAGAACUGCAUUCAGAUCAAACGGAUACGAGAGGUGGCCGAGUUGUUUGAGGAUCUGAAGAAUCGAGUGUCACAAUUCAACAUGCACAUCAGCGAAACUUCCUCUCCCUCUGACUACACCAGCACGCACACAUAGAAAUUCAUAGUGCAGGUAACACACACACACACACACACACACGAGUAGAACAGGUGUAGUUUAACAGCAUAUGUGUAUAAAGAGGCUUUUUUCUUCAGGUCAAAAUAUAUA